Cyprinus carpio (common carp) is the source of this 3358-nucleotide long non-coding RNA. RefSeq lists it as uncharacterized. The record is from RefSeq and is a predicted model, not a curated record. NCBI's taxonomy places the organism in Eukaryota, Metazoa, Chordata, Actinopteri, Cypriniformes, Cyprinidae.
GUUUUAAGUAAGUUUUAAUAAUAAGUUCAUUUGCUUUAAACUGACAAAUCAGUCAUUUUCUACUCUCAUGUUGCUCUCAAAACUUUGUCCGGUGGAAUUAUUAUAGAAAUGUAUUAUAAGAAAUAGUUUUCCACAUUAUGAAAAUGAGUGAUGAACAAGUUCAGUUGCCGUUUAUUUAGAAACUAUUUGCACUUAUAUAGAGAGUUACUAAGUUAUUAAAAAGUGUUUCCUUAUGCCCAUACUUCUUAUCUCAUCUCGCCUAGGGUUUCAAGUGUGCCAGGACUUUAAGACAAUAGAUGCCCCUGUUCAAAACUGGUUCCAAGAAUUAAUGUUUUGUGCUGCUCAUUGUAAAUUCUGAGAAUCAAAGUCACUGAACACAUGUAUGUGCACGGGGUUUCUUCCUCUCAUUUUCUACACACUAGCACACACACUCUCUGCACAGAGUCUGUUCAUGUAAACCUUCUCCCCUUCCCCCCAUGUCUCUCUCCCUUUCUGUCCCCCUCGUCCUCCCCUCCCUCUCACUCUCACUUACAGCCUGUGAGCACUAUUUCAAGCCUCCAUCAGAAGGAGCGAAGGAGUGCGAGUCACAGAGGUCGGGGGGAGGGGCCGGCAGACAGGAUUUGGAGUUCAAGUGCAUGUGGAGAAAAUGACCUGGAAGACAGUGAGACAGAGAGCGGAAUGGGAAUGCGCAGGCUAGAAUAUCCUAUUUUUUCCAGGCAUAGUUUUUGCCCUGGAAUAAAAAAGGUGAGAUUGAAAAAAACAAAAAAACAUGCACCCUCUCAAAAGAGCAAAUGAAAGAAAAUCGAACGCCGGGAGAUGAGAGCGGAGGACAAGAAAAUGUAUUCCGGCCCCCUCCCCUGAACUCUCGGCUACGGCUCACUCCUCCUCCUUCCCUCCCUCCUGUGAACCCCUUAGCCUCUCUUUUCUAUCUAUCGUUCCCUCUCUGUCAUUCUCUCCCCUCCCACCUCCUCAUGCGGUCGCUUGCAUACACAUGCGCCCUUACGAUCUCGCUCUCUUUUCCUCUCUCUCCGCCGGCUGCAGUGCUUCUCUUCUCAUCCUUGCAGCCUGGCAGCUUCAUCCGUGUUCCUCCCUCCUAGAUGGAGAAACACGCACAGCCUUUCCAAUGGUCCCCCCACCCCUCUGCGUGCCUCCCUUAAAAAAACCCCCAGGCCCCUUAAACAGCUCCUUUUCCUACUUGUCUCGGUGCCUGAUCACCAUUCGCUCUCCUUUGCACUUCACUUACAUUCUUAUUUUUUCUCUUUUUUUUCCGUUAAAUAAUUUGCCAGCUCUAUCCCACAAAUUUUCACAUUCAUAAUGUGAAAGCAGUUCAGAGUGCAGAAUGAACAGUAGGAAAUGGGAUGGGUAGGAGGAAAAAACGCUAAGAGGAGAGAAGUGACUGGGAUAGCGGAGAUGAGGAAGGAUCCGGAGCAACGGGAGAAAGAGCCGAACGUGGGAUCAACGAAACCGCGGGAAAAGGAGGAGGAACGACCAGACUGAUCUCAGUUCUUAUUCAGCUGGAAGAAAUGCCAGUUACAUAAAGAAUGCUGUGGAAAUACAGUUUGGAAUCAUCAUUGUUACUCGUUCUUCAAGACCGGAAUGAUGGAAAGAAUUUCAGCAUGUACGACUAAAUAUCAUUUGGAACAUCAUGUGGGUCGCAACCUCAGAAGAUUUGGAGACGGCACUCGAUUUGAAGAUUUGGAGAAGAAACCGUCAUUGUGAGAGUGAUGCAUUUACUUUUUUUGUCAAAUGACAAAGGAAAGACGGAAGGUAAAGAAGUGUCGUCAUCCGAGAUUAGUAUGCGGCUACUUCUACUCCACGUUACCUGAAACGGCACCCCAGAUUUCCAGACAUCCGUGAUAUCAGCUUCAGACCACUUUGACGCAGCUGUCGGGGAUGGUACCCAUUGGCUGACUUUGUGCCCUGACCACUCGGAGCGACCAAUCCAAAGUCAGCCUAGGUUCACGACCCCUAUACAUUUCUCCCGAGGCUUUGAUGCGAAUCUGUUCCAUGAAACCAUUUUACGGGCUAGCCUGCCAUCUUGUGCUCAUUAUUGUCAAACAUUUUGGUGAUGGAUAUUGCCCCGGAGCGGCUCAUAUGAGACAUGGUGUUUUUAUUCUUUUUCUGCAGUAAAGAUAAUUAGAUUUUAUAGCGUGAGACAGCGUGAACUUUUAAGAGAAUGUAUAAGCGUUGUUUGUUUUUCAAUUAGAUACAGUUUGGUACUAUAUCUGUAAAAUAUGUAGGCAGUAUGAUUCAUUACAAGAUUCAUCAAGUAUAUCAUUAGUAUUAAAAUAUAUCAUAUGGAGCAUAUUUUUCUUAUGUGUCCAUUAUCCAAUGCAUUCAUUUACAAUUUUUGCAUAACCUGAAAUCACAAAAUCUGAUCUAAAACCUUAUACAGUGACCUGAAAAUCAAAGCAAACUCGUGGAUAAUCCUUGACCGUAUUAUAUAAUAUGCAUCACAUUUUCUCCCAACCAUAUGUUUAUGUCUUUUGUUCUACUCAGCGCCUCAAGCCAUGAAACUAAACCAUUAUGAUUAAGUUAUGUGCAACCCAGAGACUAUCUGGAUCUGAGUAGGCAAAGAGAGACUGUCCCACUCCUUUCUGCUGGUGCUUUGAGACAUCAGAUACAGAACAUCAACCUCCACCAUCUGGUAUGCACUAAGCAGUGGAUUCAUUAAACAGCUAUACCAGAAAACUGUUUCACAACAAUGCAAAAGAACUGAUGAGACUGAGCAUUGAAAUCAGCAAGUGGUCUCCUAAAUGGUCUCCUUCAGACAAACAAGGCGGGGUGCCAAAUAGCCUUUUUUAUUUAGAGCAUAUGUUCAUUUUGAAAGCUCCUCACCAUUAUCAAGCAUGAACUGGUUUGAAUAUUUGACUAUGUUUUGCAUAAAGCAAAUGGUUCUUUAACAAAUGUCUUGUUUUAAUGGCUAAGGCAGAGAAAAUAUACAAUUGCAGAUGGUGUUUGGGAAGAUGAGGAACUCUCUGAGUGAGAUGAGGACCAUACAACCUCAUGUUUUUCUUCACUUAGGGCCUGAAGGACAUUUCCCAGCUCUCAGUACUAGAGUUUCUCACCAUUAUAGUGAACCUAAGCACCUGUAAUAGACUAGGCUAGUUAUUUUCACUUUACAAAUCUUAAAAAUGAUUUCAGAGCUUGUAUUCCAGAGUGCUUUUCUACACUAGGAUGUGCUGGAUGGACUUACUGUCAUAACAGGAUACAAAUUUAAUCAAGUUAUUUGAUAGAAUAUCAGCCAAUUUGCAUUUCCUCGUUCAUCCUCAUACAUUUUAAUGGGUAACAUACAAUAAAGAAAAUCAAAUUAUAUGUACAUUUGUCUUUUGUUGAAUUAAAUGUUAUACUUGUAUUG